AACCCAUCUAUGCCCAAGAAGAAGUGUCCAACAGAUCGAGGUCUUCAGUUCUCUUUCAACAUAGAGCUUCCUCAAACUCAAGAGAGCAGACUUCUUGGCAUCAAAGACAACAUUAAAGCUAACAAAAGUGACCACAAGUACACAGCAUGUGGAUCUGAUGGAGGCUCUUCUGUUAGUUUUUGAGGAGAAAAUGGAGAGGAAAGGACUGACAUCAAGCCAACUGAGCUUAUCAUCAACGGAAGUACAGCUAGUCCCGACCCCUCUCUUGUUUCUACACCAUCUACUACACGGUUUUCGAUUCCUUCAGCGUCUUCCAUUCCAUCUUCUCAUAAGAUGCUUUUGAACUCUAAAUCUUUGCAAGAUAUGUUGAACCUUGGUACACUCAAUGCUAUUCCUAAAAUAUUUUCAUUUUUACUGAUUCUGUUUAGGACCAAAAAAGUUUUAGGAGUUGUUAACUGGAGUAGGGCCAGUGAAACUUCAGCAGUGAGCCAUGAAGUCCGUAUGACAAAAGAGCUGCUGACUUUUCUAACUGAAACCCAAGGGUUCCAUGUUUCAGAGGUGGCACACAACUUUGUGUUGCAGCUGAAAACAUGGAUCUUAUCCAAAGGAUACUCUUAGCACAGUACUAAGUAUACACUUGUAUUUUUAGGCUCAUUUUGUCAGGACACUUGACCAUUUCUUGAACGUUAGCCUUUCAUUGGUAUUAUUAGUUUUUUAUUAUAUUUUUACAGGUGCAAAGUCUGUGACCAAGGCAAUAAAGAAAGUUGCUUCUGGACCACAGAGAGAUAAGGGCUCAAAGUGGUUUUCUGAACUGUCAAACAAGGUGAAAAGUACACGGACUCGUGUGUACUUUUGCAUGAAGAACAGUCCACCCAGUGAGCAAGAAUUUCAGGUUAAUCUGCUGGUUGUUGCUGACCAUUAUCAGGGAAAUCAUGUCAAUUGCCAUGCGGAGUCACGAUGCAAGCAGAAUGGCUACAUAAUGAACAAAAAGGUUUUAACUAAACCUGAAGCCGUAGCUGUGUACAUAGGAAAGCCAUUAUGGGCACCUCAAUAUAUAGACAUGCACCUGAUUACAGGCGGGUAUUUAAUUGGCACAUGCUACUGUAUGUUUAUGUUUCUUUACAUGAAAAAGUUUGCCUCUUCCAAAUUAGUGAUGUUACAGUAAAGGCCAAAAAAGUGUUGCAAAAAAUUCCUGUUACAGUUACAGAAAAACAUCACGCAAAAUCUGUUACAUUCUGCAGUGUAGGAAAACAUACUGGAUUGAAUCUCUCCAUUAAGGUGCUUACUUCGAAGACACUUGAAUUCAGGGAAACUAUACAGUCUACCUUUUUUAAUCUAAACAACUGAUUUCUAUUCUGCUUUCCAGUGAUUCUGAGUUUCUGUGAUAAUUUUAAAUGGGAGCCGAAAUGUCUUGCAAAAGAUGUGAGGUAACCAGGGAGGAAUAAUUCCACCAACUGGUGAUACUAAGCAUUGAAACAUUCAAGAGUUACAGUAGGUAUUACUCUAGGGAUUUUAUUAAUUUUCUUUUUACUGUAUAUCUUUCACUAACUUAUUCAAAUGUUACUUAUAGUUUCUCUCCUUGACGUGGUCAUUUGUAUGAGAAUUUCAUUAUUCCCUUUUAUGCCCCAUGUAAGGAAAGCCUGGAGUGUGAAUGAUUCCUUCCAAGUUAGAAUUUGAACUUGAUUCCCGGGUUGAUACACGUACAUAUGGUUAACACCAAACCAAUAUAGGAUCUUUUCUUUCUUUAUUCCUUUCCUAUCCUUUGAGGCAUUCUUAUAUCGAAGCGGUCAACUGAAAUCAUUACCCAUUAUGCAAUCAUAGCUUUACAAAUAAUAUCAGUUUGGACAACGAGCACGUGGUAAUUAAAAGAACCAAGAAAAGUACAAAACUAGCGAUAGGUUUCGCUUUGAAUCACAACUACGGGUUGACAUAGUCACAAAAUAACUUGUUGCUUACCAACGUUCACGGGUCUUGACUACUUAAUCGAGGAUUACGGUCUAACUUGUCUUCUAUUUAGAAACGAUCUUGAUUACACGAGGUCUUAUCCUGAACUGAAAUGCUAACUAUAAUUUUCUGUCUAAAAUGAACUAAUCACGGAGGCGUUAAUCAAACCAUAAAAUAUUUCGCAGCUUCUUUCGGAAGCGACCACAUUUAGCUUUAAUGGAAGCAGUUUACAUGGAGGGUUAGGAAACCUUGACCUCACAUCUUUUAUAGCACAAUUGGGUAUCCUUUCCCGCAGUACAUUAACUUGGUUCCCAGUUUCCAUUUUUCUGGCCUGGCAAACAGGGUCUUUCCAGAGCCCACACUUCUUUAGAGAUCUCCAGUGCGUCUUAUAAUCUUUACGAUAUUGCACGUGAUUUUGUAUGUGCACUUCUCUACACCCAAGGUAUUCACAACUGUAUUAAUUGUAAAUGCACAUUUCCACCUCAUCCCCUACUGCAUCAGCUAUUUUGGAGACAAAAUAAGAUAACUUUAGGAGGGAAAGCGGAAAUGAACGGUCAUGAAGUCUUGUAAGAAUGACCACACAACCAGUCUUCCCGCCCAAAUUUUAUUUUGGACAAUUUCUGUAUAAUUUUUCAUGUUCUAUGAACAUGUUUACCAUAAAAUGUCGCGAUAAAUGAAACCUGUAGUUCAAGAGGAAUUACUCCUUUCAAAACAUUCUUAUGCAGGACAAUACAUUUGUUGGUGUCAUGCAAGGCUACAUUUCGGGAAACGAAGGUAUUGAAACAUUCAUGCGACGCUAACUGUCGCAUUAUUGGAAAAAAAAACCUUGGUUUGAAAGUGUUUUCUAACAACUAUUACCUGGUUGGAAAAAAAACCUGCCAAUAAUCAUGACUAGAAAUUUACAGGUUUAGGCGAGUGUUUCAAAGAUGGUGAUACAUUAUCACAUUAUUGUUAGUAUCGAACUGUUGUCCCAAGUUAUAAUUGUAAUGUAAUGAACUGUUCUGAAGGUCAAAGAGCUCUCAAUAUUGUUGUAUUCAUGUUAUAAUAAGAUUAAAAUAUGGUGAGGAAGCCAAACCAGCUGAUUCCUUUGGGGACAUCGACACCUUGACAUUUCAAAGGGAAUCAGCAGCCGGCGAUGAUUCACCCACGUGCUCCAGCAUUUCGCCUGUAAUGGUCGCUCCACUCUAAGUUUUUCUGUGUUUGGGUGAUACCAAUUCUCCUUCACAUUGUUGAAGAAAGGUGAGGAACAUUUCUUCAUCUUUCUUCUUUAUUUUUAUGAUCAUCUACAUCCAGUAUUUAGAAACAGACAUAUGAUAUUAUGCCGUGGUAAUAUUUACGUGAUGGUGAAGCGAAUUAUUUCGAAUUUCAAAUUUAUUGCCACAAUUAAAUGAAGACGAUUUCCACUGGAGAACGGAAAUACAAACCUCGAGAAACUCUUCCAUUGUGAUGAAAACGUAAAAACUUUUUAAUGAAUCUGCCUGCUGUUCACUGCUAUGGAUCUGCUUCAGCUCAAGCUGAUUUGAAUAUAGAGUUCUGUAUGGUAUGACGGUUGAUUGACAAAUGAUCCAGAGGUACCUUAGACACCACUCUUUUUAUAGGGCGUCUUAGUGUUUAAGUAGUUUUAAGAAAUAAUGAGUGAUUCUGGCGAGUUGUUUCUCCUAACAGCUUGCCACAAUAAUCAUAUGAAAGCUUAUCUUAUUAUCAUGCUGAGCUGGCUGAGGCUUGAGAAGAUUGUUUCAAGUCUUUUCCAAGGUAUUAGCCUGCGGUGCAGGCAUCUUACUAGGGUCAGUUAAUGCAUGCUAAGAAGCACACAAUCGUUUAUUCAACCGGCCAUGUUUAACUUGGAGUCAUAGUUGACAGUGGGGGAAGGGGGCAGGAAGGGAAACAAUAAUAACAUCAAUAUUCACUUUCCCCACCCUCACCCCCAUCUUCAUUUUUUCACUGUCACUCACCCCCUUGGUACAAAUUUCCUUC
Molecule: long non-coding RNA, 3918 nt
Organism: Stylophora pistillata
Lineage: Eukaryota; Metazoa; Cnidaria; Anthozoa; Scleractinia; Pocilloporidae
Source: RefSeq, a predicted model, not a curated record